UUUUUUUUAUAUACUACAUUCACUUACUAUUCACUUACUGCAAAGCUACCCCAAACUUAAAGGUUGCUAUUCCAACAGCAACCCCAAACUUAGAUAGAAACGUAGAGAUGAAAUCAAUCCUCACAUACUCUGAACAUCUAUUCACUUACUGCAAAGCUACCCCAAACUUAAAGGUUGCUAUUCCAACAGCAACCCCAAACUUAGAUAGAAACGUAGAGAUGAAAUCAAUCCUCACAUAC
Molecule: long non-coding RNA, 239 nt
Filed under: Lathyrus oleraceus (garden pea)
Lineage: Eukaryota; Viridiplantae; Streptophyta; Magnoliopsida; Fabales; Fabaceae
Description: Pisum sativum (pea) long non-coding RNA (PSAT_LNC004946)
Source: RNAcentral